This 1314-nucleotide ribosomal RNA is filed under the name Klebsiella pneumoniae CHS 41. RNAcentral describes it as "bacterial SSU rRNA". It matches the Rfam family "Bacterial small subunit ribosomal RNA", at positions 8 to 1314 of the family's 1533-position model. The record is from RNAcentral. Lineage: Bacteria; Pseudomonadati; Pseudomonadota; Gammaproteobacteria; Enterobacterales; Enterobacteriaceae.
AGAGUUUGAUCAUGGCUCAGAUUGAACGCUGGCGGCAGGCCUAACACAUGCAAGUCGAGCGGUAGCACAGAGAGCUUGCUCUCGGGUGACGAGCGGCGGACGGGUGAGUAAUGUCUGGGAAACUGCCUGAUGGAGGGGGAUAACUACUGGAAACGGUAGCUAAUACCGCAUAACGUCGCAAGACCAAAGUGGGGGACCUUCGGGCCUCAUGCCAUCAGAUGUGCCCAGAUGGGAUUAGCUAGUAGGUGGGGUAACGGCUCACCUAGGCGACGAUCCCUAGCUGGUCUGAGAGGAUGACCAGCCACACUGGAACUGAGACACGGUCCAGACUCCUACGGGAGGCAGCAGUGGGGAAUAUUGCACAAUGGGCGCAAGCCUGAUGCAGCCAUGCCGCGUGUGUGAAGAAGGCCUUCGGGUUGUAAAGCACUUUCAGCGGGGAGGAAGGCGUUAAGGUUAAUAACCUCAUCGAUUGACGUUACCCGCAGAAGAAGCACCGGCUAACUCCGUGCCAGCAGCCGCGGUAAUACGGAGGGUGCAAGCGUUAAUCGGAAUUACUGGGCGUAAAGCGCACGCAGGCGGUCUGUCAAGUCGGAUGUGAAAUCCCCGGGCUCAACCUGGGAACUGCAUUCGAAACUGGCAGGCUAGAGUCUUGUAGAGGGGGGUAGAAUUCCAGGUGUAGCGGUGAAAUGCGUAGAGAUCUGGAGGAAUACCGGUGGCGAAGGCGGCCCCCUGGACAAAGACUGACGCUCAGGUGCGAAAGCGUGGGGAGCAAACAGGAUUAGAUACCCUGGUAGUCCACGCCGUAAACGAUGUCGAUUUGGAGGUUGUGCCCUUGAGGCGUGGCUUCCGGAGCUAACGCGUUAAAUCGACCGCCUGGGGAGUACGGCCGCAAGGUUAAAACUCAAAUGAAUUGACGGGGGCCCGCACAAGCGGUGGAGCAUGUGGUUUAAUUCGAUGCAACGCGAAGAACCUUACCUGGUCUUGACAUCCACAGAACUUAGCAGAGAUGCUUUGGUGCCUUCGGGAACUGUGAGACAGGUGCUGCAUGGCUGUCGUCAGCUCGUGUUGUGAAAUGUUGGGUUAAGUCCCGCAACGAGCGCAACCCUUAUCCUUUGUUGCCAGCGGUCCGGCCGGGAACUCAAAGGAGACUGCCAGUGAUAAACUGGAGGAAGGUGGGGAUGACGUCAAGUCAUCAUGGCCCUUACGACCAGGGCUACACACGUGCUACAAUGGCAUAUACAAAGAGAAGCGACCUCGCGAGAGCAAGCGGACCUCAUAAAGUAUGUCGUAGUCCGGAUUGGAGUCUGCAACUCG